RNAcentral lists this ribosomal RNA (253 nucleotides) under uncultured bacterium. RNAcentral describes it as "partial 16S ribosomal RNA". It matches the Rfam family "Bacterial small subunit ribosomal RNA", at positions 524 to 776 of the family's 1533-position model. The record is from RNAcentral.
UACGUAGGGUGCGAGCGCUAAUCGGAAUUACUGGGCGUAAAGCGUGCGCAGGCGGUUUUGCAAGCCGGAUGUGAAAUCCCCGGGCUUAACCUGGGAAUGGCAUUUGGGACUGCAAGGCUGGAGUGCGGCAGAGGAGACUGGAAUUCCUGGUGUAGCAGUGAAAUGCGUAGAUAUCAGGAGGAACACCGAUGGCGAAGGCAGGUCUCUGGGCUGACACUGACGCUCAUGCACGAAAGCGUGGGGAGCAAACAGG